This is a non-coding RNA of Chrysemys picta bellii (western painted turtle), 545 nucleotides long. Lineage: Eukaryota; Metazoa; Chordata; Testudines; Emydidae. The record is from RefSeq and is a predicted model, not a curated record.
CCCAAUACAGUUCAGUCCUGACUGCAACAGCCAUACGGAUUUGUCAAUGUCCUUCAACUAUGACUUGUAGCAACUCAUUCUGUUCCAGUCAUGGGACUCUGACGCAGCUUAGCUAAUGGGCCUGAUCCUGGACAAUAAAAAUCAUGAAGUGGAGAGGUACCGGAAGACUGGAAUACAACGAACUCAGUACCAGUCUUCAAAACAAGAAGGAAAAGAGAUCCCCCAAUUACCCUCCUGAAACAUUACCAUAUGGCACAGCCCAGAAAGGGGAUGGAAAUAAGUGGUUAUUAGUGCCUGGACAGAAGGGCAUGGCUAAUGACAUUUUGGAGGUACUUGAUUGGUUACAGACUGAUGCCAUUAUUAUUAUUUAUGUUGCUCUAAAAUCUAGAGGCCCACAGACCCUGAAAAUUAGGCCUGAUAUAAAUGACAAACUGAAACCACACAAGGAUAAAUACGUGAAACACUUCAGAGAAGGUAUGGAUCCUUCCUAUUACUUAACCAAGAUAACUGAUCCUCCAUAGAUAUCAUAGACUGAGCCCAGAACA